This 254-nucleotide ribosomal RNA is filed under the name uncultured bacterium. RNAcentral's name for it is "partial 16S ribosomal RNA". It matches the Rfam family "Bacterial small subunit ribosomal RNA", at positions 524 to 776 of the family's 1533-position model. The record is from RNAcentral.
UACAGAGGGUGCAAGCGUUAAUCGGAAUUACUGGGCGUAAAGGGCGCGUAGGUGGUUGUAUAAGAGAGAUGUGAAACUCCCUGGGCUCAACCUAGGAAUGGCAUUUUUACUGUAUAGCUAGAGUAGCAUGAGAGGUAGUGGAAUUUCCGGUGUAGCGGUGAAAUGCGUAGAUAUCGGAAGGAACACCAGUGGCGAAGGCGGCUACCUGGCAUGAUACUGACACUGAGGCGCGAAAGCGUGGGGAGCCAAACAGG